AUACAUGCAGUCGAACGCUUCUUUCCUCCCGAGUGCUUGCACUCAAUUGGAAAGAGGAGUGGCGGACGGGUGAGUAACACGUGGGUAACCUACCCAUCAAGGGGAUAACACUUGGAAACAGGUGCUAAUACCGCAUAACAGUUUAUGCCGCAUGGCAUAAGAGUGAAAGGUGCUUUCGGGUGUCGCUGAUGGAUGGACCCGCGGUGCAUUAGCUAGUUGGUGAGGUAACGGCUCACCAAGGCCACGAUGCAUAGCCGACCUGAGAGGGUGAUCGGCCACACUGGGACUGAGACACGGCCCAGACUCCGUACCGGGAGGCAGCAGUAGGGAAUCUUCGGCAAUGGACGAAAGUCUGACCGAGCAACGCCGCGUGAGUGAAGAAGGUUUUCGGAUCGUAAAACUCUGUUGUUAGAGAAGAACAAGGACGUUAGUAACUGAACGUCCCCUGACGGUAUCUAACCAGAAAGCCACGGCUAACUACGUGCCAGCAGCCGCGGUAAUACGUAGCGUCGGCCAAGCGUUGUCCGGAUUUAUUGGGCGUAAAGCGAGCGCAGGC
RNAcentral lists this ribosomal RNA (556 nucleotides) under uncultured Bacilli bacterium. RNAcentral describes it as "bacterial SSU rRNA". It matches the Rfam family "Bacterial small subunit ribosomal RNA", at positions 51 to 576 of the family's 1533-position model. The record is from RNAcentral. Lineage: Bacteria; Bacillati; Bacillota; Bacilli.